AUGGCGUCCCAGCUGGUUGAGAGCCACCGUGCCGGCGCCGAGGUCCACAAGGGGAACGAUAUCUGCAAGAAGAAGACCGUCGAGCUUCUCGAAGUGCUUGGCCUCCCGAAAGGCCUCUUUCCUAUGGAUGACAUCGAGGAGGUCGGGCACAACUGUGAGAGUGGGUUUGUGUGGAUGCUUCAGAAGAAGAAGAACGAGCACAUGUUCAACAAGCUCAACCAGACCGUCUCCUACGACACUGAGGUGACCGCUUUUGUGGAGAAGGGCAAGAUGAAGAAGGUCACCGGGGUCAAGGUCGAGGACCUAUACUCUUUGGUCGAGGUCUAUGUGGAUGAGUCUUCUGCUGAUAAGGUUACCAUCAAGACUGACACCGGUCUGUCUGAAACCCAUGAUGCGCCCGUGUUUGCUGUUGGGGAAUAG
RNAcentral lists this ribosomal RNA (420 nucleotides) under Triticum aestivum (bread wheat). RNAcentral's name for it is "partial small subunit ribosomal RNA". Lineage: Eukaryota; Viridiplantae; Streptophyta; Magnoliopsida; Poales; Poaceae. The record is from RNAcentral.